AGCAAGACAAUGUUCAAGAGGAGUAUUUGUUCACCUGGUGUAUAGAGAAAAGUCGGUCGGUGCAAGACUUUCCCAGAAGCAAAGAAGGUAGCUUGAAGGUCUUUGAUUCGAGGAUCCAUGCUGAUCCAAGGACAAACGCAUCGUGACCGUUAACUCACGUCAAAGUGGUAGAGAAAUCUACAAUUUAGGUGGUACCGCGUAUCAGCGCCCUAAAU
Molecule: non-coding RNA, 215 nt
Filed under: Enterococcus sp.
Lineage: Bacteria; Bacillati; Bacillota; Bacilli; Lactobacillales; Enterococcaceae
Description: T-box sequence
Rfam family: T-box leader
About the family: Uncharged tRNA acts as the effector for transcription antitermination of genes in the T-box leader family.
Source: RNAcentral